CUCAGACCAGAAUGGAAAACCUAUUCAAUGGAUCAGUCAGAUUUGUCACCUCGAACUGUCGAGUUGUGAAAGUGUUGUUUUAAAGAUUUAUGGAGUGGAAGGUGACUUUGUGAAUUUCUGGACAGAUGUGAAAUACAAUCCUAAGCAACGUUGCACUCCGCACAAAAAUAAACGAUCCACCCUGACCAAAUAGUCCUGUAAGAUUAUUGCUUACAAAGGAAAAUUCUAAUCCAGCCACGUCCAUGAGAAGACCACUCCAAAAGCCAACAAAGAAACGAGG
Long non-coding RNA from Drosophila ananassae, 280 nucleotides. RefSeq lists it as uncharacterized. The transcript has 3 exons. The record is from RefSeq and is a predicted model, not a curated record. Lineage: Eukaryota; Metazoa; Arthropoda; Insecta; Diptera; Drosophilidae.